GAACUUAUCACAUGAUAUGUGGGUUUAAUUUUACUCUUAAUAUCUGAUUUAUUGACACAGCGUGAAGCUCAAUAAAAGUACGCACUUACACAAUAGUGAAUAUUGAGAGAAAUCUCUGCUGUAGUUUUAUUAAAUGAAGUCUGAACUAAAAUACACAGCUUUUAGGCGUAUUUAUAGAGUUUUAAGACUUCCAAAACUAAUGGGAAAAUAAAACUA
RNAcentral lists this unclassified non-coding RNA (216 nucleotides) under Hevea brasiliensis (rubber tree). Lineage: Eukaryota; Viridiplantae; Streptophyta; Magnoliopsida; Malpighiales; Euphorbiaceae. The record is from RNAcentral.